UAACAGAUGACACACGAUUGGAUUGGUUACCUUUCAUGUAGACUAGUAAAAAUUAUGUUAGGGGAAGUCAAGUGGAAGCCUUUGAAAUCUCUUUUAUGGCCAACAUAGUAAAUUAAAAAGAGUGAAAAUCCUUCACAUGCUGGAAAUGGCAUAUUCAGCACAUAGUUUAGACUGACAAUGAGAGCCCUGGAAAAUGCAAGACUGGAAGACUGGAGACAAAGAAAUCUGGAAUAAAGUCAGGUGGAUGGACCCUUGGGAAGUCAUUAAACAUUCACAGCUUUAUUUCUUACAUCACUGCCCAGCAGACAGCAUUUAUUGCAGAGAAAUCACUGAAUCAACAAUCAGAGAAAGAGCCUGGGAAAACCAAUUGCUUCAACAUCUUCCCUGCUUAUAUGUAGCUUGAGCUGACAGGCAAGCAAAUUGGAUGAGCAGAAAUUCCAGUCAAAUGUUAUUAUUUUGGAAACUGUAACCAGAUGCCAUGUUGAAGAAUCAAUGUCCUCAGAGUAAAGUCAAGACCUUAGUUGUUCAAGGGGGAGAUUGAAUCUGGUAGAUCUCCAAAUAAUAAUACCUCCAAUAAUAAUAGAAAUAUUUUAAUGAAAUAUCUCUAAGAGAAUGGAGUAAC
This is a non-coding RNA of Microcebus murinus (gray mouse lemur), 622 nucleotides long. Lineage: Eukaryota; Metazoa; Chordata; Mammalia; Primates; Cheirogaleidae. The record is from RefSeq and is a predicted model, not a curated record.